ACAACGAUGAUGAUUAUAGAGACCUGAAAAGAUUUGCGGAAGUGAUCGCAACUUUAUUAAACAUCUAAGGGACUGAGUUGAU
Small nucleolar RNA from Macadamia integrifolia, 82 nucleotides. RefSeq annotates it as small nucleolar RNA SNORD25. The transcript has a single exon. NCBI's taxonomy places the organism in Eukaryota, Viridiplantae, Streptophyta, Magnoliopsida, Proteales, Proteaceae. The record is from RefSeq and is a predicted model, not a curated record.